Molecule: ribosomal RNA, 253 nt
Filed under: uncultured bacterium
Lineage: Bacteria
Description: partial small subunit ribosomal RNA
Rfam family: Bacterial small subunit ribosomal RNA
Source: RNAcentral
AGGACGAACGCUGGCGGCGUGCUUAACACAUGCAAGUCGAGCGGAAAGGCCCUUCGGGGUACUCGAGCGGCGAACGGGUGAGUAACACGUGAGUAAUCUGCCCCUAGCUCUGGGAUAGCUCCGGGAAACCGGGAUUAAUACCGGAUAUGACCACUUUAGACAUCUGCUGUGGUGGAAAGAAUUUCGGCUAGGGAUGAGCUCGCGGCCUAUCAGCUUGUUGGUGGGGUAACGCCUACCAAGGCGACGACGGGUA